This 62-nucleotide small RNA is filed under the name Euglena gracilis. RNAcentral's name for it is "Eg-p-Orphan5 AGAUGN box-like small RNA". The record is from RNAcentral. Lineage: Eukaryota; Euglenozoa; Euglenophyceae; Euglenales; Euglenaceae.
AUGCAGCUUUUACGCGACUGCCGCCUGCAUGGUUGCCAGUCACAUCCUGAGCUGCAAGAUUU